GAAUGCUUAACACAUGCAAGUCGAACGGUAACGAUGGUAGCUUGCUACCAGGCGACGAGUGGCGGACGGGUGAGUACAACUUAGGAAUCUGCCCAGUAGUGGGGGACAACUCGAGGAAACUCGAGCUAAUACCGCAUACGCCCUUCGGGGGAAAGUGGGGGAUCUUCGGACCUCACGCUAUUGGAUGAGCCUAAGCCGGAUUAGCUUGUUGGUGGGGUAAAGGCCUACCAAGGCGACGAUCCGUAGCUGGUCUGAGAGGACGAUC
Molecule: ribosomal RNA, 265 nt
Filed under: uncultured bacterium
Lineage: Bacteria
Description: partial 16S ribosomal RNA
Rfam family: Bacterial small subunit ribosomal RNA
Source: RNAcentral